AGUGCUGCAUAGUCCUGUCUUUUGUUUCAGCAAGACCAGACUAACACAGUUACAUCUCUAUUAUUAAGGAUUUCAAUGACAUCUUAAUGUGGAGCAAACUACCCCACCUCUGCCUCCUGGUGGGUUUGUGCAGGUGGUUCUGUGACAUCUGAUGCUGGAGACUGUUGGAGACUGGAUGCUGACCAGACAGACCACAGGUCUGAUCCAGUAUGGCAAUUCCUAGAUCCCUGUGUAACAUAAAUAACAUAAUGCAGUUUUCUGAAUAGUGGGGUUUGAGAAACCUACUUAAGUUAUCUAUUCAAUUUCUAUAUUUAUAACAUAAUCAGCACUUUGAUUAUUUAUAGGUAACUAAACCAAUGUCAAGCAAUUGUUAGUUCAUACUGAGCCUAGCUCUGUUUCCAUUGGAGUCAAUGGGAGUAAUGCUGUUGAAUUUUAAGGGGCAAGAAUUAGGCUCAUAGUCUGUGGGAGCCAUUUUCAUGCAAAAUGAAAACUGAAAAUGGAAGCAGCGAAAUUAAACAAUACCAAAUAUUCAACAGUGCCACAGUAUUUAAGUGCAUUUGUCAUAAGUGUAAAGGCAUAAGCAUGCAGGAGUCUUUAGAAGGGAGAAACUACCACCAUUUUAAACACAAGAGAAUAUAUUGCUCUUUAACAGUAAUACUUCAACAAGUUUAAUAAAGUCUGUAAUUUCCAGUGCUGAGAGGGAAGCAUCACAGAAUAUAUCAUAGAGAGCUUUAGUCACAUCUAAAUAUGUGUGUGUGGGGGAACUAAACAGAAGAGUUAUCACAGCUAAGUGCUGUUUUUUAUUUGCAAUGCUCAUGUACAUUUCAAAAAUGGGAGUAUCUGCAGCUGUGUGAUUGUGACCCAAAUGUUGUGGUGUUAGAGGUGCACUAGCAUUCCUUUGUCCUCUCAGGAAAUGAGUAGGAUGCUCUUUAAUACGUGUGCAAUCAUUUCUGCAUGCAGGCAGUGUACGUUUUGUAAAUCUUUAAUAGAAAAUAGUAUCAAGAAAUGAGUAAAUAAGUAUUGAACCAAGAAUCCCAUUUAUAAUAGGUAUUUUGAAGAAAUUCUAUUUCAAGCAGAGGUUAUUUACAUAUGCUUGCUAGUAUUGAUUAAUACUACAAUAAAAGACAGAACCCAGUGUGUCUAUGAAGUUUUGUUAAUCAAAACUUUCUCAGACUAUAAAUACAUUGGGAUGGGAAGGUUACCCAAUUUUCUCAUAUUGUUAAGGAAUAAUAAGCUUUUGACAUAAUCAAAAAGUGGUGGUUAAACACUGAAUAUUCAAGAUGUCAUGCUUGAGCUAACCAGAUUUUUAGAAACAAGAAAAACCUACAGCUGAUAAAGCUUGCACAACUCACAUACUAUGAGAUUUUUUUUUCCAGUUUCUCUUCAAAAUAAAAAAUAAGAAUGAACCUUAAAUAUUAACCACUGUACCUGGUGGUCUCAUACUUGUGUGUAAAUGUUAAGGAUAACGAAUUUCUCCAUAAACUACAUUUUAAAUUAAGGCUGUUGUUAUUUAUAUAGCAUCAAAUAUGAUUAUUGGUUUAUAAACAUGUAGAUUCCCUGCCUCACAGAAUGUAUUAAAGCCCCGAUCCAUGCACUUGUGCAUGUGCUUUAUUUUAAGUACAAAUAAUCUUACUUAACUUUACUCACAUAAAGCAGUUAAAUUGAAGUACAUGCUAAAGAGCCUGAAUUGAUUGGGGCCUGAGUAGCAAAGGAGCCAUUUUGGGCACGCGGAGGGCGUGGGGGGGACCAACAGCUGUGCACUCCAAGACAUGGCUUACUUUUCAUCCCAUUCCCCGGGACGCUGAGGGAGUGAGGGGAAAGGGCUUGCAUUGCGUGCAUUCCUCUCACACCUGACAGGUGAGCUCCUUUCUCCAGCCAGGUAUGAGAGGCAUGCACUUUGCAGUCACUCCCUUAGCUUCCGGGGAAUGGGAUGAAAAGCAAGCCGCAUCCCAGAGCACUCUUGCUGAGUAGACAAAAGGCGCCCUUGCUGAGUAGACAAUGUUUAGGUUGGUAACUUAAAACUUUUAAGUUGGUAAGUGGUAAUUUGCUUACUACAUAUUUUUUCUCUUUCAACAGCGAAGCUCAUUGCUUCACAAACUAUGGUCUGUGGCCCACAAGUGGUUUAGAUUUUCUUGUGGAUUACACCACCAACAGAAAUGGUUCCAUGUCUUGAGGAAAAUAGAGGAAUUCAGGGAUUUGGAGUAAGCCACACUCUUACAUACUAAGGGAUGCCAACCUGUAUCAUUACCUUGGAGCUGUGAAAAUAGAUCCUUAGCCAUGUGAAUGUUGGCCAACUUAAUGCCAUGAAAUGGAACAAAAGGUUCUAUAUGCCAUUAUGGAUGGAGCUCCCAUGACUUCCAUGGAAUUGAUCUGGGGUGACUUUUCUCUGUGUAUGUAACCAAAGUUCUGUUGUAUAUUAUUAUUUCAAAAAUUCCUUUAAUUAGAAACAGCCAUAAUUUAUUUCAUAAUAGUAAUGAAUAGCCGCUGUACUGUGUUUCUGUUCAUGUAGACAUAACAUUAAUCUCUGGAAUUAAUUGUGAUUGCACACUUCAUUGUUUUCCUUUGAAUAGCAGACUUUCAAAAUGAAAGUUCAUCAAUGCAUGAAGUAAUAAUAACAAUAUUUUACUACAACCAGCUGAUAUUUUUAUUUUUACUCAUCUGUAUGCACUGUAUUAUUAUAAAUUAUACAAAAUAGACAAAUGUAAUGGUUAACUGUAAUAGUUUACUGAUGUACCUAACAAGUAUUACACAUAUCUACAUUUCCUAAUGUAUUACUAGAACCAAGCAUGCACAGAGCAAAUCAGCACUCCCCUAGCAUUCUUUUAAGGAUGGCAGCUUCACUAUUUGUGUAAAAGAAGAGCCAGAAGUAGAAGACACAUCCUGAUGGCCUUCUUCCUAUCAUAGGUGCAUAGAUACAAAACUAAAAUAAAUCUCUCCCGUAGGAAGCAGACUAGUACAAAGUACAUGCUUUCAUCGUGUACAGUGAGGAAGGGCUAGAUUGUGGUAUACCUCAGGCACUCUAGGAAUGCAUUCCCAAUAAAGCAUUUAUUUACAGCCAUCAUCAUUUGUUAGUAGGCAUUCAUGUAAAUAGCUCAUCGGGCCUGGUCUACAUAGGGAGAUUAGGUCGAAUUUAGCCUCAUUCAGUCGAUUUUCUAAACAAUGAGUCCACACCACUAAGCCUGUUCCCUGUUCCACACUACUAAGCCCGACUUAAAGGGCCAUUAAAGCUGAUUUCUGUACUCCUGCUUUUAUAUGAGGAGUAGCCACUAAAUUUGAUCUUGACCAAUUGACUUUUGGGUAGUGCAGACACAGCACCGUGAAAAUUGAUGUUCUUGGUUUCUGGGAAAGUUACACUAUCCCAGAAAAUGGGGGGAGGAAGGGAGGCGGAACACAUGGGUGCCACAUAAGCCCCUACCCUACUGUCACAACUGGGCCCCCUCCCACUUCCCAUUUGCUUACUUGUGCCUGCAGCAAGGGAAAGUUGCACUCUCCUGGCAAACGGGGAGUGCUGAACACGCAGGUGCUGUGUGAGCCGCUGCCAUGCCCAGGCCCUCUAAUCCUUUCUCCCCGAAGGUUCAUGCCCUGGCUUGUUCCUUGCCCUGCCUGCCAGAAAACCAAGUCCAGCUGCUCCAUCAAGAACCCUGAGGUGUACCUGCUGCAAAGUAACCACCUGAAAGAUAACUGUGGCCUUGUUCAUAACAUGUCCUUAUGGUCUUUAGACCAGUGUUUCUUAAACUUUUUGAGACCACGGAACACCAAACAAUAAUGUUUUUUUAUGCGGAACACCUAUGGAAAUUUUCUUCAAAAAAGAAAAAUUGUUGUCAGACAAAAAAAGACAAAAGCAAAGAAGUAAUAAUAACAAGGAAGAGGUCGCGGCACACCUGCGAGUUGUUCACGGAUUAGCAGUGUUUCAUGGAACAUAGUUUAAGAAACACUGCUUUAGACAGACCUUCAUUUUGUUCUAACAGAUUAGGCUUUACAUUCUACAGUGGAGCUCCUGUAAAGCAUGCUCUUCUCUUUUUGUUACCAUGGGAACAGCAAUGAGCCUGGUGUGCAUUCCCCCUACCCGCUGUCUGCCUCACACAAAUCCACAGGUGAAAAUGGACAAGGGAAGAGAUGUCCCAGGAGCAAAUGCAAUCUGCCAACUUGGACAGGGAGAGAAGCACCAGGAGAGAGUGUUGUCAUCCGGUACUCCUUCCUGGACAGGCACCGCCUCCACCCCUUGCAAACCAACAUUCCCUCUUUACCAAGUUCCAUAGGCCUCCUCUCCCAGGGGCUCUAGAAGGCGGGAGUGGGCGGGGGAGAGAGGAGUCAAGGACAGACUCACACUCAACUCCCAGGGAUGUGUCGAGAAGCAAAACACUCUCCUCACAAUUGUUAGCACACACUCCCCCCAAAGCUCUCGCCCUGGGCUCCUUUUCUGUCACUGCUC
Pelodiscus sinensis (Chinese soft-shelled turtle) is the source of this 4432-nucleotide non-coding RNA. NCBI's taxonomy places the organism in Eukaryota, Metazoa, Chordata, Testudines, Trionychidae. The record is from RefSeq and is a predicted model, not a curated record.